RNAcentral lists this ribosomal RNA (429 nucleotides) under Gemmatimonadota bacterium. Its description in RNAcentral is "Gemmatimonadetes bacterium partial 16S ribosomal RNA". It matches the Rfam family "Bacterial small subunit ribosomal RNA", at positions 355 to 776 of the family's 1533-position model. The record is from RNAcentral. Lineage: Bacteria; Pseudomonadati; Gemmatimonadota.
UAGGGAAUCUUCGGCAAUGGACGAAAGUCUGACCGAGCAACGCCGCGUGAGUGAAGAAGGUUUUCGGAUCGUAAAACUCUGUUGUUAGAGAAGAACAAGGACGUUAGUAACUGAACGUCCCCUGACGGUAGCUAACCAGAAAGCCACGGCUAACUACGUGCCAGCAGCCGCGGUAAUACGUAGGUGGCAAGCGUUGUCCGGAUUUAUUGGGCGUAAAGCGAGCGCAGGCGGUUUCUUAAGUCUGAUGUGAAAGCCCCCGGCUCAACCGGGGAGGGUCAUUGGAAACUGGGAGACUUGAGUGCAGAAGAGGAGAGUGGAAUUCCAUGUGUAGCGGUGAAAUGCGUAGAUAUAUGGAGGAACACCAGUGGCGAAGGCGGCUCUCUGGUCUGUAACUGACGCUGAGGAUCGAAAGCGUGGGGAGCAAACAGG